GAAGCUGCUAAAAGGAUAUAUGCCUUUGGAGGAUAUGAAGGGUCAGAGCCGCAGGCUACUACGGGGAUAACACAAAACCAAUCAAGAACAGGUUGUUGUUAAUAGAUACCAUAACAAUCUAAAUAGCUGAGCCCUGGAGUGACUCUGUGGUGUGAAGUACCAUUUGUAUUCUUCAAGUUAUUCAUUUCUCCAUAGCACAGCUAUUUCAUUAUUUUUUAUCUGUCUUAAGCUGUGUUUUCGUAAGGGGCAGAAGCAGAAUCGAUUGCAGCGCACCCAAGCGGGCAGAAACAGUAACACUCAAAGAACUAGUUCUUUGACAUGAAUUUUGCUUUAUGUGUUAUGGGUAAUGAACUUUUUGGGUUGUUCAAAAGGUAAUUCUAAAAUGAUUAUUGGAUAUUUAAUUGAAUAAAGUGAAUUAUUUGCUUUUUAUAACUCAGAUAACUUUUCCACAAUUAUUAGUUACUUCAAUUAUGCUAAAUUUUAUGCUUUAUAGGCAUGUCAAUCAAAGAGUUAACUUUUCAUUUCCUAUGCUUGAAAUUUGUAAGGGUAAAUUAUUUGAAGUAACUGAUUGUAUUUCAUUAUUAAUAAGAUAUUAUUUUAUUAACUAGAAGCAUUCCAUUAUUAAUAAUAUAUUAUUAUAAUUAUUUUAUCAACUAUAAUCAAUUGCCUUCAGAGUCAAUGCAUGUUCUUUGAAUCACAUCGUGUAUAAGUAGGCCUACCUACUAUGAGUACCGUAUUCAACUUCAAAGGCCUAUUAAAGCAAGCUUUACUUUUGGCAUUUUUGGAAUCUACGGGUUAUAUUAAUAUAACCAAGAGAAAUAAAUAUAGUAAACGUUUUUUAGGCAAUUUUAUUUUAGCAGUCCCCUUUUUGAUAAUUGGAUAGGUACGGUCCCGGCUGAUAUACUUAAAUAAGAAUCUUGAGGCCCAUUGACUGCCUAAAUCAAUAUGCCUUCUCAGGCAAGGUUCAAUUAGAGACUCCUCACCAGUAAAAGCUAUACAAAUAUUAAACAUUAUUAUUAUUAUUAUAGAUUACUGUAACACAUAUGACAUGUACAAAGUGUAUUCAAACAGGCGAACUAAUUCUAAUAAUUAUUGUUGAGAUAACUAUAUCUUGCUAGAAUAAACAGGUUCUGUUAUGGUACUUUAAAUAACACAUAGCCUACCGUAUUUUAAAAUGGAUAAAUAUCUAUUAAUUAUAGAAGGUAACUAGUACCCUUGUGAUAUUCCAAAUUGAAACAUGAUAAGUUUCGACAUUUUCAAUAAGGACUCUCUUGACAAUGACAUAAUUAGAAACUGGUCAUGCUUAUUUUGAAUAUAUUAGGGUAGCCUACUAGUUAUUUUUCAUAAUUAAACAUUAAAGUUGCCCUAUUAAAAUUAAUACUUUAUUAGAUAAUUAUUUACUAUAAUGUUCUAAAAGCUUAUCAAUUUUAAUCAAAACCUUGGAAAUAAAGCUACCCCUUCAAUGCAGUACAUAAGUACUAUUACUUAAUUCUUAAUGCAAUUAUUGUGAUAGCCUACCCUAUUUUAUAUCCUAUUCAUGUCUAUUAUUUAACUACAUGAGUUACCUAUAGCAUUUGCCAGUCAGCAAUGUUACAUAAUUUUAUUAUUUCCAAAAAAAAAAA
This 1622-nucleotide long non-coding RNA is filed under the name Nilaparvata lugens (brown planthopper). RNAcentral describes it as "uncharacterized LOC120353147". The record is from RNAcentral. Lineage: Eukaryota; Metazoa; Arthropoda; Insecta; Hemiptera; Delphacidae.